This 1251-nucleotide unclassified non-coding RNA is filed under the name Caenorhabditis elegans. Its description in RNAcentral is "Non-coding transcript of protein-coding gene frk-1". Lineage: Eukaryota; Metazoa; Nematoda; Chromadorea; Rhabditida; Rhabditidae. The record is from RNAcentral.
AUCAAGAAGAACAACUGUUCUAUCGAUCAUUCAUUAUUUGCUAUGGCAACUAAAAAAAAUAAAAAUCAAUCAUCACAAAUGGGAACCGUCGAAAAAUCGUCAAACAACGAUGCAUCGGUGACUGACGACAUCCGCAGUGCUGAAUAUUAUCACGGAAUGGUACCACGUCAGGAUGCGGAAGGAUUCUUGAAGCGAGAAGGCGAUUUUCUUGUUCGGAAGACUGAGCAAAUGCCAGGAAAAGUUGUGUUGGCGAUGUCUGUGAGGGUAACCGAUGAGUUGUGCCGCCACUUCAUGCUCAAUAUGGACCCGACAAGCAAUAAGUUCUACUUUGAGCACACUCAUCAAGAGAGCACAAUUUCAGAACUUAUCAAUUGGCACAUGACCACCAAAACUCCCAUCUCAGCUGCUUCUGGAGCAAAGAUCCGCCGUCCAAUGGAGCGAUCCCCUUGGCUUAUCAAUCAUGACAGCAUCGUUGCAAACAAGAAACUCGGCGAAGGUGCAUUUGGUGAUGUUUUUAUCGCUGAGCUUGAUCAAGGUGGAAAACAGGAAGUCGCUGUGAAGACAAUGCGUGCCGAAGCAACACGUGAAGCUCGGCUCCGUUUCAUGAAGGAAGCUCGUUUGAUGAGAAAAUAUCAGCACAAGCAUGUGGUGAAAUUGAUUGGAGUGGCAAUUCAUGAACAUCCAUUGAUGAUUGUGAUGGAAUAUUGUCCAAAUGGUUCAUUGUUGAGUCAUUUGAAGAAGAACAAAGUAUCUUUGAUUGAAAAACUGAGAUUCACGACUGAAGCUGCCGACGGAAUCGCAUACUUGGAGAGAUCUAAGUGCAUUCACCGUGACAUCGCUGCUAGAAAUUGCCUUUUGUCAGCGAAAAAUGAGCUGAAAAUCUCUGAUUUCGGAAUGUCGGAUAACAAGGAUGAGAUUAAGGAUGAAACCCUUGAAAAGGUUCCCAUUAAGUGGUUGGCACCAGAGACAAUGCAGGAGAAAGUGUACACUCAUAAGACUGAUAUCUGGACAUUCGGAGUUCUCGUUUGGGAGAUUUAUUCUGAUGGAGCUGAGCCAUAUCCAGGAUUGACGAAAAUUCAAACUCGUGCCAAGAUAGUUGUCAACGACUACAGAAUGAAAAUGCCAGACGGAACACAUCCAACUGUUGCUGACGUUGUAACUGGAACCUGUUGGCAGAAGAAUCCAGAGAAAAGAUCAACUAUGGAUUCAAUCCACAAGAAGCUCCGAGAGUUUUACGAAUCGAAGAAAUAG